This is a long non-coding RNA of Marmota flaviventris (yellow-bellied marmot), 399 nucleotides long. RefSeq lists it as uncharacterized. Lineage: Eukaryota; Metazoa; Chordata; Mammalia; Rodentia; Sciuridae. The record is from RefSeq and is a predicted model, not a curated record.
GGGAGGGCGGGCUGAGGUGGGCGGCCAGUCGACCUUUACCUUUCUUGGCUCGUCCUGUUGGGGCAUGCUUUUCCUGCUGGUCAGGAGGAGACGGGGGCUAAAAAACCUGACAAUUCUCCAUGGACUGAAGUUUUGACUUGGCAUGAGGGCUUCCUAUGGAAAAGAGGCUUGCUGAGUUUGAAGCUUGGAGCUUGAAGAGCAUGGCACCAACAUCUGUUCAGGACCUCCUUGCUGUUCACAAUAUGGCAUCAUGGCUAGCACAUGAAAGAAAUUGUUGGCCUGUAUUUAAUCAAAAAGAAGGGCUAAGAAGAACCUUCACAUGCAGUUCACAUCAACCCUGGGGCAACUGAAAGGUCAGGAUGACCUAUUAUGGCAGAGAAAAGGAAAAAAUUAAUGGGA